Suricata suricatta (meerkat) is the source of this 941-nucleotide long non-coding RNA. RefSeq lists it as uncharacterized. The record is from RefSeq and is a predicted model, not a curated record. NCBI's taxonomy places the organism in Eukaryota, Metazoa, Chordata, Mammalia, Carnivora, Herpestidae. The transcript has 3 exons.
GCGAGCCACGUCGUGUCUGUGCGCAGGCGCGCCCUCCGUCCUCUGCGUCGUCAGAGCCGCGCGAGCGCUGCUGCUGCACCUCAGCCCUUGUGAUUUCCCGUUUGACGUUCGGGACCAACCUGGCCGCAGCCGCGCUGACUCCAUCUUGGGUUCCUACAAUGUCUGUCAAAGAAAAUAGCACCUUUGGAAGCUGACUUUGCAGCACAUCUCCGCCAGUCUAAACAAAAUUAGGAAUCUAGGUCAGCAGCUCUACACGGAGUCCAUGGCCAAGUCACCAGAUGAGCAAGUGACGGGCGCGCGCAGAACGGCUUGGCCCCGAGUCAGCGCCAGACCUCCUCCCAGGGCCCUGCCCCGUCGUGGGGUGACGUGGCGCGUGUGAGCAGAAAGCCAUGAGCCUGUGCUGCCACCUUUCCCAUUUCCCUGCGUGGUGCUGAGAGCAAUAAUGCCUGUGUUAAAAUACUACCAAGGAUCGGCGGAGGCACUGGAAAUGUGUUGCUGUGGAGACCUUACAUCAGAUGCAAUAUAUUAUUUUGAGGUAGAAACAUUUCUAAAAGAUGUAUGUUGUGAAAUUUACAACAGUGAUCAGAACUAGUUUCUAAAGAGGUAUAAAUUAUGUCAUUUGAGGAGAUAAAGUGGAACUUAAAACAUUUAAAGCAAAAUAAAGCAGAAAAGAAACAAAAUCCCCGAUGGAACAAGUGAAAAGCCGCUAGCAAAGUGGUAUACUUUAAUCCAGCUGUCUCCGUAGUCACAUGAAACGGGAAUGUUCUCAGUAUACCAGCGAGAAGACUGAAAGUGUCAAUGGGAUGAAAAAAAAUGAGAGGCAUCUGUCCAGUAUCGACAAGAAUUCAUUUUGCAAAUAGAAACAUAGGUUAAGAGCAAAAGGUUAAAAAAGAUUCACAUGCUAACAGGAAUGCAAAGAAAGCUGGAGGGGCGCCUGGGUG